Molecule: ribosomal RNA, 568 nt
Filed under: uncultured fungus
Lineage: Eukaryota; Fungi
Description: eukaryotic LSU rRNA
Rfam family: 5.8S ribosomal RNA (bases 208-361)
Source: RNAcentral
GUCGUACAGGUCUCCGUAGGUGAACCUGCGGAGGGAUCAUUACACAAAUAUGAAGGCGGGCUGGAACCUCUCGGGGUUACAGCCUUGCUGAAUUAUUCACCCUUGUCUUUUGCGUACUUCUUGUUUCCUUGGUGGGUUCGCCCACCACUAGGACAAACAUAAACCUUUUGUAAUUGCAAUCAGCGUCAGUAACAAAUUAAUAAUUACAACUUUCAACAACGGAUCUCUUGGUUCUGGCAUCGAUGAAGAACGCAGCGAAAUGCGAUAAGUAGUGUGAAUUGCAGAAUUCAGUGAAUCAUCGAAUCUUUGAACGCACAUUGCGCCCUUUGGUAUUCCAAAGGGCAUGCCUGUUCGAGCGUCAUUUGUACCCUCAAGCUUUGCUUGGUGUUGGGCGUCUUGUCUCUAGCUUUGCUGGAGACUCGCCUUAAAGUAAUUGGCAGCCGGCCUACUGGUUUCGGAGCGCAGCACAAGUCGCACUCUCUAUCAGCAAAGGUCUAGCAUCCAUUAAGCUUUUUUUCAACUUUUGACCUCGGAUCAGGUAGGGAUACCCGCUGAACUUAAGCAUAUC